RNAcentral lists this ribosomal RNA (253 nucleotides) under uncultured bacterium. RNAcentral's name for it is "partial 16S ribosomal RNA". It matches the Rfam family "Bacterial small subunit ribosomal RNA", at positions 524 to 776 of the family's 1533-position model. The record is from RNAcentral.
UACGAAGGGGGCUAGCGUUGCUCGGAAUCACUGGGCGUAAAGCGCACGUAGGCGGAUUGCUAAGUCAGGGGUGAAAUCCUGGAGCUCAACUCCAGAACUGCCUUUGAUACUGGCAACCUUGAGUCCGGGAGAGGUGAGUGGAACUGCGAGUGUAGAGGUGAAAUUCGUAGAUAUUCGCAAGAACACCGGUGGCGAAGGCGGCCAACUGGUCCGGAUCUGACGCUGAGGCGCGAAAGCGUGGGGAGCAAACAGG